AACCUGGUUGAUCCUGCCAGUAGUCUUACGCUCGUCUCAAAGAUUAAGCCAUGCAUGUGUAAGUUCAAUGAUUUGACCAAAAAACUGCGAAUGGCUCAUUAUAUCAGUUAUAGUUUAUUUGAUAGUCCCUUACUACUUGGAUACCCGUAGUAAUUCUAGAGCUAAUACAUGCGUAAACACUCGACCUUUGGAAGAGUGGUAUUUAUUAGAUUGAAACCAACCCGUUUCGGCGGUGUCCUGGUGAUUCAUAAUAACUUUUCGGAUUGCAUUGCAACAUUUCAUUCAAGUUUCUGCCCUAUCAGCUUUGACGGUAGUGUAUUGGACUACCGUGGCUUUAACGGGUAACGGAGGAUUAGGGUUUGAUUCCGGAGAGGGAGCCUGAGAAGACGGCUACCACAUCCAAGGAAGGCAGCCAGCGGCGUAAAUUACCCAAUCCUGACACCGGGGAGGUAGUGACCAUAAAUAACCAUGCCGUGCCCCUUUGGGUAUUGCUUUUGGAAAUUAAAAAAACCC
This 513-nucleotide ribosomal RNA is filed under the name uncultured marine eukaryote. Its description in RNAcentral is "SSU rRNA". It matches the Rfam family "Eukaryotic small subunit ribosomal RNA", at positions 1 to 526 of the family's 1831-position model. The record is from RNAcentral.